This 3001-nucleotide long non-coding RNA is filed under the name Setaria italica (foxtail millet). RNAcentral's name for it is "long non-coding RNA (SITA_LNC000253)". The record is from RNAcentral. Lineage: Eukaryota; Viridiplantae; Streptophyta; Magnoliopsida; Poales; Poaceae.
CCGGUCGUCCGUCAAGGAUUCUGUUCACAGAACUCCUUGAAAACCUCCACGGUGUGUUUCAUAGCCAUACAUCAGGAUAAUAUCCGCGAUGGGAUAGCAUCAACAAAUAUUACAUUUUUAAAGACAUAUCAAAGGUACGAUAUAUUACAACCAUAGUUGAAACAAACUUAAUAGUGCAGGUUAGCGUGGUUCUAAGAAUUUAAAACGUAAACCAGCCGGAAGAAAAAUAAACAUUUAAGUUUUAUUCUAGAGUAUCAUGAGACUCAUAAGAUACCCUAGAUCUUCGGAGCUUCCUCUUCGGUGGGUCCCUGCUGGUUUUCUGAAAAUAACAACAAGGGAUCCCCUGAGUACGAAGUACUCAGCAAGUCUUACCCGACUAACCAAUAUAAUAGCUUUCUUUGGAAGUGUAUGCUAGCUUUUUGGUGUACUUGGCUAAUACAAUUUUUGCCGAAAAGCUUACUACAAGUGAUGUCUUAGUUUUAUCUUUUAUUUGGGUUAAGUUAUUACCUAACCAUUCUAGAUGAUGAGAAAAGAGUAAAUACAACAAUAAGGUAUUUAAGCCAUACAUCACUCAUUUAUCAGAAAGGUAUAUCAUUCAUGAAUUUACACUACGAUGCUCAACAGUGAUCAAGUGCAUUCAUAACCGAGAAUUGCGGCGAUCCGGAUCAUAAUACAUCCUGCAGGAGAGUACCCUGAUCACCAGCUAUAUACGACUGUACAGGUCGUACGUAACGACUUUUCGAUUAGUAAAUCCAAUGAUUGGGAAUAAGACUACCCGGACCCAGGGACGCACCCCCACAUGGGACCCCACGUCUGGCCCGAUCACCAUGUGAGUUUCAGGCUACGCCCCUGCCAAUCUCCAGCACGUCAAGCGCGGGUACGAAGUAUUCCCGAUCAGAGAGUUUACUAACCUACUGGGCUUUACUGGUCCCAUACCCAGUAAGUGAUCAGAUGCUUAUCACUUGAUCAAAGGUUAAGACAACGAAUCGGGCCUUAACCAAAUUAAUCUAGCAGACAGAACUACAUCUCUAGCUUCUGUCCGCUACCCAAUUCCAAGUUAACCUUCCAUAUAUCACAUGUAUGACUCAAAGUUUUUCCUUAAGGUUGGUAAACCAAGCAUUUAAGCAACUAAGCAUUUCUAGACUUGGGUUAUCUUCUAAGGUUUGAACAAGUGGCAAAGAUGUCCUUAAAGCAAGGUAUGAUUAUACACAAGAAUAGGUCUCAAGCAACUCCUAGACUUAGUGCAUACAUAUAGCAAAUAACCGAUAAUUGGACACAUGAAAUAAUAACUCCCAAAAUAGAUAGGUAUAAAUGCACCGGGGCUUGCCUGGGAUCAACAAAGGUUAGUUCUUCAGAAAACUUCUUUAUUAAAAGAGGCAGUUCACAUUUCGCGAAUGCUGUCCAUCUCCAGCUGAAUUCCAUGAAUUCCACUUCAGGAGUUGUGACGGCUACGAUUCAGUAUAUGCAAGAGUUAGAGAUGCAAACUUUUGAAUACAAGACUAUACAACUUUCCUUCAUGAUAAAGUUGCAAGCCAACAAGGACUAUACAAUUUAUCAUGAUAAAGUUGCAAGCCAACACACAAAAACCCCAAAGAUUAACCUACCAUUUUUAUUUCCUUUACUAAUCCUACCCUAGACCUUUUCUUUUAUUUUUAAAAGCAUUAUAAUAAUUUUCUAAUCUCAAAACUUAUUUCCUAUGACUUAAUAAUGGUUUGUGGAUAAUAAAGCAUUACUCAAGUUUUAUACAUUUAAUAAAGUUUAAGCAUUUAUUUAAAUACCUUAAAUAAAAAGGCAUUAAAUAAAUACCUAAAUUUUUAUUAUUUUUCCUAGGGUUUAAGAAUUUUAAUGCAUAAAGGAAAAUAAAACAAUCCUAAUAAAAUUGGUUUCACUAAUUUUGGGCACUUCUAGAAUUUCCUGUGAAUUAAAUGGUGAAAACCGUAUUUAAUCUAUUUAUCUAAUAAAAGAAAACCUAAGGUUUAUUCAUAAAACUCCGGCCCAAACUUUUCUUACCCAGCUUGCUUCUACCCACCAUCACUUCCACCUAGGGCCCAUCCGGCCUCCUACUUUCCUCCCUUUCCUCUUACUGACGAGUGGGGCCCACGGCCGGCACCCUUCCUCGGGCCGAGAAGUGGCCCGCUAGCUCUUAACCUUCCACGCAUGGGCCUUCUUGCAGCAGCCCCUUUUUGGGCCGGCUCCCCCUUCUCUCCUCUUUCUCAACCUCGGCCGGCCCACCUUUCUUUCUUUUCUCCCUCCGAUGCUCGGCCUGCUAAUCCGGCCCAUGGCCUCUCUUUUACCCGCCGGCCCACCUUCUUUCUUCUCCUUUUAUGCCGCGCGGGCCAGCUGGGCUGAUGUCUUCCCCCCGGCCCAAGACGGGCGGCCGGCCCUUUUCUUUUUCUUUCCCUUCCCUCCGUGCGGCUGACGGGCGGGCCCCCUCGGUCAGGGGUUUCUUCUUCCCCUGGCCAAGGUCGGGCGCACGCCGACGGGAGGAAAACGGGGCGGCCCGGCCGACGGCGGCUCUCCGGCGGCUUGAGCGGGACGGGGUGGCGGCGCCCAGGCCAGGCGCACCCGUGCCCAGCCGCAGCUCGCCGGGAGGCGGUCCGAGUUGGCCCCUCCACGGGCGGCUGUGGCUCGGCCAACUGUUGGCCAUGGCGGCGCACGGAGGCGGCGCAAGCGGCUUCCACGACUCCCCCUUCAGCUCCCACACUCUCGCAGGACGCCCCUAGACCCGUCAAUUGAGAAGAAAAAGCCGGUUCAAAGGCUUACCGUGGGAAUUUGGUGACGGCGGCCGGUGGACGGAAACGACGGCGAUUACUGACUUGCCGACGGGGAGAUGAACUUCGGUUGGGUUGAGGGCGUCAUAGCGGGGCUAUGGAAGCUGCUGACGGGUGAAACGGGAGGGGAGACGACGGCGCGGUUGAGUUGGCCGGCGGCGGCGCUGGUUGCUCAAGCUCGGCUCCCGGCGGUAAAACAAAAAGGCGGCGGUUAACUGGAUGAGGGCGAG